CCGCACCGCGCGGCGCCGCGCCACCUCACCCGUGAUGCUCGCUCGCGGUGUCGGCAUCUUGUUCCAAAUGGUGGGUGCGCAUUAGGCUCGAAUCGCGCGCGCGCGCGCGCGCUGGAUUUGGACCCAACCGAACCCCACCUCGUUCCGUCCACCGCUCUCGGCUCGCGAUUGCAAGUGGAACGGGCCGGCCCACGCCCACCCGUUCCAUCGCCCCUCUGCGCCGGCUCGACUCUACUCGACUCGCUCUCCCUCGGCUCGGCUCACCGCCGACGGAGGACGGCGAGGCUCCCCGCUCCCUCCCGUCUCCAUUGCCGUGAGGUCGUUGCCGAGCAGGAGCGCAACACCGCAGCGGCCUGGACCCGCAGGUCGCCGGCUGCGUUUCCUUCCGAGUGCCGCCGCCGCCCCGCCCUGUGACGAGUGUCGGAGACCUCGGGUUCGACACGGGGAAGGGAGGUCGCUGCCGACACGAUGAGCGCCUCCACCACCUCGAUCCCCGCGGCGGCCAUUUUUGGACCCGAUAGCUUCUAUAUUCGAUAAACUUCUUUGUGGGCGAACUCAAAGGCCUGAAGCUACAGGCCAGGCAUUGGAUGGCUCACAGUUCCCUGGUUCAGGCUCCAUUGAAGCAAACAGGAGGAGAGAAAGGGGUCAAAGGGCACUGGAGCAAAGAUUGGCAGAAAAGCUGGCUGCAGUCAGGAGCUCGGAGGGCACGCCCCAGCCGCAGCAGUAGCAGGAGGAGGAGGGUGCUUCUGAUAAAGUCUGAGCCCUCGUUUCAGUUGGUGGAAUCCGCAGCCAGCAUUGUGCUGUCAGGAGAUUCUUCUGUGAGUUGGGACAUCACAUGAUAUGUUUUCCUUUUUUUUUCACUAUCAUCAUGUAGCCUCGCUGCAACCUGUAGCCAGCCCUGCUCCUAGUAUUUUUGCGCGCGUCAUCGUGUGCGUGAGACUCUGAAUGGUGCAGUAGUUCACAGGCACGACUCACGUAUGUCUGAACUAAUUGUUGU
Long non-coding RNA from Phragmites australis (common reed), 997 nucleotides. RefSeq lists it as uncharacterized. NCBI's taxonomy places the organism in Eukaryota, Viridiplantae, Streptophyta, Magnoliopsida, Poales, Poaceae. The transcript has 3 exons. The record is from RefSeq and is a predicted model, not a curated record.